RNAcentral lists this small nuclear RNA (102 nucleotides) under Symbiodinium microadriaticum. The record is from RNAcentral. Lineage: Eukaryota; Dinophyceae; Suessiales; Symbiodiniaceae.
GAUUCCCUUUCGGGAUCAUCGGAUAAAGUUGGAACAACACAGAGAAGAGUAGCAUGGCUGCGCAAGGAUCACACGCAUAAUCGAGAAGUGCGCCAAGUUUUG